Molecule: long non-coding RNA, 518 nt
Organism: Populus euphratica (Euphrates poplar)
Lineage: Eukaryota; Viridiplantae; Streptophyta; Magnoliopsida; Malpighiales; Salicaceae
Exons: 2
Source: RefSeq, a predicted model, not a curated record
CAGGUAAGAGCUCAGGACCUCCUCUGUGUUUCCUGUGAAAAACCAGCUCGUAGGAUCUUAGUCGUGCUACUAAGGGAAAUCACUGGUUUUUUCUCUUUCUCCUUCUUGCAUGCCUUUAUUCUUCGAAUUGAUGGGGCCGAUUUAGUUCCCAGAUAAGUCUCGGCAGCCAAAAACAACUCAUCACAGUAGUUAUCCGGUCCAUAUUCUUCUAUAACAAGAGUGAAUUGUGGACGGAAAAGAUGAGCAAAUAUGCGAAGAUUGGCAGCUGUUGGAAUCAGUACUGCUGAAGCUGCAAGAGAAGCUACCACAGAAAGAACUGUUUUUGUAUUUGGCAAGUUCUGGAGAGACACCAAUCUUGAGACUUGUUAAUGCAAGGUUGGUUAUCAAAUAAACGAUUAUGAUGAAGCUAGUGAAGGAAGCUCUGUAAAUGAUACCUAAAGUUCCAUUAAGAAACUAGAGAGAAAUGUGAUCAAGGUGUCUUCAGUGAGGUUUAUGGUGCAAAUUAAAGCCAAUAAAAA